GAUCAUGGCUCAGGAUGAACGCUAGCGACAGGCUAACACAUGCAAGUCGAGGGGCAGCAUAAAAGUAGCAAUACUUGGUGGCGACCGGCGCACGGGUGAGUAACGCGUAUGCAACCUACCUAUCAGAGGGGAAUAACCCGGCGAAAGUCGGACUAAUACCGCAUAAAACAGGGACACCGCAUGGUGAUAUUUGUUAAAGAAAUUCGCUGAUAGAUGGGCAUGCGUUCCAUUAGGUAGUUGGUGAGGUAACGGCUCACCAAGCCGACGAUGGAUAGGGGAACUGAGAGGUUGGUCCCCCACACUGGUACUGAGACACGGACCAGACUCCUACGGGAGGCAGCAGUGAGGAAUAUUGGUCAAUGGGCGAGAGCCUGAACCAGCCAAGUCGCGUGAAGGAAGAAGGAUCUAUGGUUCGUAAACUUCUUUUGCAGGGGAAUAAAGUGCAGGACGUGUCCUGUUUUGUAUGUACCCUGAGAAUAAGGAUCGGCUAACUCCGUGCCAGCCGCGGC
RNAcentral lists this ribosomal RNA (509 nucleotides) under uncultured bacterium. Its description in RNAcentral is "bacterial SSU rRNA". It matches the Rfam family "Bacterial small subunit ribosomal RNA", at positions 15 to 518 of the family's 1533-position model. The record is from RNAcentral.